AGCAGCCGCGGUAAUUCCAGCUCCAAUAGCGUAUAUUAAAGUUGUUGCAGUUAAAAAGCUCGUAGUUGAAUUUCGGGAUUAAUAUGUCGGUCGUGCCUUCGGUAUGUACUGGUGUCACUGAUUCCUCCCUUCUGACGAACCGUUAUGCCAUUUAUUUGGUGUGGCGGGGAAUCAGGACUGUUACUUUGAAAAAAUUAGAGUGUUUAAAGCAAGCUAACGCUUGAAUACAUUAGCAUGGAAUAAUGGAAUAGGACGUUCGAUCCUAUUUUGUUGGUUUCUAGGAUUGACGUAAUGAUUAAUAGGGAUAGUUGGGGGCAUUAGUAUUCAAUUGUCAGAGGUGAAAUUCUUGGAUUUAUUGAAGACUAACUACUGCGAAAGCAUUUGCCAAGGAUGGUUUCAUUAAUCAAGAACGAAAGUUAGGGGAUCGAAGACGAUCAGAUACCGUCGUAGUCUUAACCAUAAACUAUGCCGACUAGGGAUCGGAUGAUGUAAUUUUUAAUGACUCAUUCGGCGCCUUACG
RNAcentral lists this ribosomal RNA (520 nucleotides) under uncultured Glomus. Its description in RNAcentral is "SSU rRNA". It matches the Rfam family "Eukaryotic small subunit ribosomal RNA", at positions 569 to 1092 of the family's 1831-position model. Lineage: Eukaryota; Fungi; Glomeromycota; Glomeromycetes; Glomerales; Glomeraceae. The record is from RNAcentral.